AAGGAAGAAGUAGAGAGGUAAUACGAGUAGCUUGAAACUACUAUACGGGGGUUCGAUUCCCCCCUUCCUCA
RNAcentral lists this transfer RNA (71 nucleotides) under Cynoglossus trigrammus. Its description in RNAcentral is "tRNA-Ser". It matches the Rfam family "tRNA". Rfam says of the family: Transfer RNA (tRNA) molecules are approximately 80 nucleotides in length. Their secondary structure includes four short double-helical elements and three loops (D, anti-codon, and T loops). Lineage: Eukaryota; Metazoa; Chordata; Actinopteri; Pleuronectiformes; Cynoglossidae. The record is from RNAcentral.